Molecule: long non-coding RNA, 969 nt
Organism: Nematostella vectensis (starlet sea anemone)
Lineage: Eukaryota; Metazoa; Cnidaria; Anthozoa; Actiniaria; Edwardsiidae
Exons: 3
Source: RefSeq, a predicted model, not a curated record
CGUCAAUAGAGUUACAUAAAAGAUCGUUAUGUCAACAGAAAACAAUAAAGAAUCUCCAACACCUCAAGAUUUAUAGCAGGUGGUAUAAAAAAAUCAAAACUUCCCGGGGAGUUACCGGUGGUUAGAGCGAAUCAGACACGGAGAUGCGGUAGGGGAACAUUUGCUACAUUUCCAACUCGAAAGACAAACUAGUCCAUGUGCUAUGCUGACUUGGAGAGAUCUGCUUCAAGUGUUCAAUAAGUAAUGUGCCCACCUUACGACGAUGUAAGACGAAAUUCAAGACAGGAUACUCUACGCUUCUCCAAACCUAGGCAGCUAUAUCUGGGCUCAAAUGUCUGUGCUGUGCAUUAUUCAUAGUCUUGGUGAAUAUGAAGAAUGCCGGAUAUGAAGAAAAUUGGACGCAGUGGUUGGUCCGUAUGACCGAGAUUUCCCUAAUGCCGAAGAGGAGCUUUAUGUGGGAUAAUGAUGAUACAAAGGGAGAGCCAUGCACAGUGCAACACCUGCUGUUAUCUGAAAAUAGAGGAAAUAAUGUGACUUGUGCACGAGUGUCAAACUCGCGAGUGCUCCGGUUGUUGGCGGUAAAUUAUCAUCAACAAUACGAAUCGUAUUUAGCGCAGUCAGCAAGAGGGUUUCUUUACAGGAAGGACUAAUUCCUAUGAAAAUAUUUUAUAUUUCGUCAGCUCUCUGGCGUGUCGCGCUCAGCCAUUUUUGUGAUUAUUUAGGCUUUAAUUUGUCACUUAAAAAGUCACUUGACUUGUUUCUAACCAAUCAAUGGUUGUUAUAUCUCAUGCAAGAUAAAAUUUUUCUCUAUUGUUAACCUAGUUUUAGCCCUAAUCAUGGAGCGCCUGUGUGGAAUAUUUACAAAACAACCUUUUAUACUUGCACACAAAUUCAUGUUUCUGUUAGCCUCAAGCCUUGUGUGUAUCAAAUAAAUGAAUAAAUAAAGUAGAAAAGACAAUUCAACGACAA